Molecule: ribosomal RNA, 253 nt
Filed under: uncultured bacterium
Lineage: Bacteria
Description: partial 16S ribosomal RNA
Rfam family: Bacterial small subunit ribosomal RNA
Source: RNAcentral
UACAAAGGUGGCAAGCGUUGUUCGGAUUUACUGGGCGUACAGGGAGCGUAGGCGGUUGGAUAAGCCCUCCGUGAAAUCUCCAGGCUUAACCUGGAAAGUGCAGAGGGGACUGUUCAGCUAGAGGAUGGGAGAGGAGCGCGGAAUUCCCGGUGUAGCGGUGAAAUGCGUAGAGAUCGGGAGGAAGGCCGGUGGCGAAGGCGGCGCUCUGGAACAUUUCUGACGCUGAGGCUCGAAAGCGUGGGGAGCAAACAGG